This 71-nucleotide transfer RNA is filed under the name Phrynosoma platyrhinos (Desert horned lizard). RNAcentral describes it as "tRNA-OTHER". Lineage: Eukaryota; Metazoa; Chordata; Lepidosauria; Squamata; Phrynosomatidae. The record is from RNAcentral.
GCCAGUGUGGUGUAGGGGUUUGAGCAUUGGACAAUGAUUCUGGAGAUCAGGGUUCAAAUCCCACGCAGGCA